Molecule: long non-coding RNA, 932 nt
Filed under: Homo sapiens (human)
Lineage: Eukaryota; Metazoa; Chordata; Mammalia; Primates; Hominidae
Description: HSALNT0383601
Source: RNAcentral
AGCCAACACAGCACUGGCAAAUCAGGGAGCUGUCAGAAACAGCUGUCCAUUAACGGAGUUUGUGGAAACAACCAGGAGCUGUUUGAAAAUGCUAGGUGGUAGAAUUUAAUUGGAGUAGCAACUGUUCAAAAUUAAGAUUAAAAGGACCAGUCAGUCAACGUGGAUUUCGUGACACCUUAAAAAUAACGUUUCAGGUUUGAUUAAUGCUGCAAGAAGUUUGCACAUUUCUCUCCUUUGCUGAUAGGGCCUGCGUGCUGAUAGUUGAUUCAGUGAAUAUAUGUAGCAGUGAUAGCUCAUGGGCUCCAGAGGUCAGAUAUCUUAUUCUCUAGGCUGAAACCCUUGUUGCUUUAAGGAAACAGGAUUUUAAUAGGAAUCACAUGCAGAUUGACUACAGGGAGCCAAGCGGUAGUGGAAGAAGCAAAGUUGGCGGUUUUGGAGACGGACGUCUAUCUAUCCACAGUGGGACAAAAAUGAAGGUUAUUGAAAAGAAUCAUGCUUGGUGGAAGAAGUAAUUACAUUUUUUUUUCAAAUCUCAGAGGAAUAAUGCUUUUAUAUUUCCUGCGAUGACCCAAUUUGCACUACGAUAUGCUCCCUUAAAUGUGAUUUAAACAGAAGAGAGGACCACCCCGCCAACCAAAUGUCCAGGUCCUAUUCCAUGGAACCUAUGAACAGGUUGUCCCACAUUGCAAAAGGGACUUCACAGAUGUCGGUAAGUUAAGGCCAUUGAGACGAAUGAUUCUGGAUUGUCUGUUGGGCCCAAUGUGAUCAAAAGUUUCCCUAGAAGAGCUAGAGAAGAUGCGAUAAUGGAAGCGGAAUCAAAGACAGAUUUGAAGAUGCUGCUGUCUUUGGAGAGAAUGGCCAGGAGGCAAGGAACACAAGCAGCCCCUAGAAGUUGGAAAAGAAACAGGAGUGAUAAGGGGGAACUGAGGACU